Molecule: ribosomal RNA, 497 nt
Filed under: uncultured bacterium
Lineage: Bacteria
Description: partial 16S ribosomal RNA
Rfam family: Bacterial small subunit ribosomal RNA
Source: RNAcentral
GACGAACGCUGGCGGCGUGCCUAAUACAUGCAAGUUGAGCGCUGAAGGUUGGUACUUGUACCAACUGGAUGAGCAGCGAACGGGUGAGUAACGCGUGGGGAAUCUGCCUUUGAGCGGGGGACAACAUUUGGAAACGAAUGCUAAUACCGCAUAAAAACUUUAAACACAAGUUUUAAGUUUGAAAGAUGCAAUUGCAUCACUCAAAGAUGAUCCCGCGUUGUAUUAGCUAGUUGGUGAGGUAAAGGCUCACCAAGGCGAUGAUACAUAGCCGACCUGAGAGGGUGAUCGGCCAAAAUGGGACUGAGACACGGCCCAAACUCCUACGGGAGGCAGCAGUAGGGAAUCUUCGGCAAUGGACGAAAGUCUGACCGAGCAACGCCGCGUGAGGGAAGAAGGGUUUCGGAUCGUAAAACUCUGUUGGUAGAGAAGAACGUUGGUGAGAGUGGAAAGCUCAUCAAGUGACGGUAACUACCCAGAAAGGGACGGCUAACUACGUG